RNAcentral lists this ribosomal RNA (492 nucleotides) under uncultured bacterium. Its description in RNAcentral is "partial 16S ribosomal RNA". It matches the Rfam family "Bacterial small subunit ribosomal RNA", at positions 29 to 507 of the family's 1533-position model. The record is from RNAcentral.
AGUGAACGCUGGCGGUAGGCCCAACACAUGCAAGUCGAACGGCAGCACAGUAAGAGCUUGCUCUUACGGGUGGCGAGUGGCGGACCGGUGAGGAAUACAUCGGAAUCUACUUUUUCGUGGGGGAUAACGUAGGGAAACUUACGCUAAUACCGCAUACGACCUACGGGUGAAAGCAGGGGAUCUUCGGACCUUGCGCGAUUGAAUGAGCCGAUGUCGGAUUAGCUAGUUGGCGGGGUAAAGGCCCACCAAGGCGACGAUCCGUAGCUGGUCUGAGAGGAAGAUCAGCCACACUGGAACUGAGACACGGUCCAGACUCCGACGGGGGGACGCAGUGGGGAAUAUUGGACAAUGGGCGAAAGCCUGAUCCAGCAAUACCGCGUGGGUGAAGAAGGACUUCGGGUUGUAAAGCCCUUUUGUUGGGAAAGAAAAGCAGCAGGUUAAUACCCCGCUGUUAUGACGGUACCCAAAGAAUAAGCACCGGCUAACUUCGUG